This is an RNA transcript of Cebus imitator (Panamanian white-faced capuchin), 896 nucleotides long. It is a transcript of the gene named ferritin heavy chain-like, with no coding region annotated. The record is from RefSeq and is a predicted model, not a curated record. Lineage: Eukaryota; Metazoa; Chordata; Mammalia; Primates; Cebidae. The transcript has a single exon.
AUGCUUGGAAGGAACCCGGCGCUUGUUCCCCCGCCCCGGCUGGCCGCCCACAACCAGUCCUCCGUCAUCUCCACACCGCGCCCUCCGACCGCCCCCGAGCCCCCGCCACCUCCGCACCGCGCCCUCCGACCGCCCCAGAGCCCCCGCCACCUCCACACCGCGCCCUCCGACCGUCCCAGAGCCCCCGCCGCCGCCGCCUUGAGGACCCCCUCGCCGGUGCGCCACAACUACCACCAGGACUCAGAGGCCGCCAUCAACCGCCAGCUCAACCUCGAGCUCUGCGCCUCCUACGUUUACCCGUCCAUGUCUUACUACUUUGACCGCGAUGAUGUGGCUUUGAAGAACUUUGCCAGGUACUUUCUUCACCAGUCUCAUAAGGAGAGGGAGCAUGCCAAGAAACUGAUGAAGCUGCAGAACCAACGAGGUGGCCGCGUCUUCCUUCAGGAUGUCAAGAAACCAGAUCAUGAUGACUGGGAGAGCGAGCUGAAUGCGACGGAGUGUGCAUUGCAUUUGGGAAAAAAUGCAAAUCAGUCACUACUGGAGCUGCACAAACUGGCCCCUGACAAAAAUGACCCCCAUUUGUGUGACUUCAUUGAGACAUUACCUGUAUGAGCAGGUGAAAUCCAUCAAAGAAUUGGGUGACCACGUGACCAACUUGCACAAGAUAGGAGCACCCCAAACUGGCUUGCAGAAUAUCUCUUUGACAAGCACACCCUGGGAGACAGUGAUAAUGAAAGCUAAGCCUUAGGCUAAUUUCCCCAUAGCCACAGGGUGACUUCCCUGGUCACCAAGGCAGUGCAUGCAUGUUGGGGUUUCCUUUACCUUUUCUAUAAGUUGUACCAAAACAUCCACUUAAGUUCUUUGUACCAUUCCUUCAAAUAAAGAAAUUUGGUACC